CCAUAGCAUCAUAGAAACACCACCGCCAUACCUACAGCAUUAAAGAACUCACCGCACCACCGCACCAAUGCCACACCCACAUCAUCAUAGAAACACCACCGCCAUACCUGCAGCAUUAUAUUUUAACUCACUUUGCAUCUCAUUUUUGAAGUUAGAUCUUAAAACAUAUAGAUGGGUGUAAUUUCCACUUUAUGAUAUUUUAGUGAGUAUCCGAUGUGGGAAGUGAGAAGUUUGGAAUAAUGAAAGUAACUUCAAUUGAUGGCUCUUUUGGUUGUUUAAUUUGUAAAAUAAACUAAUUAUUAUUUUUAUCUUAUUUUAACUAA
RNAcentral lists this long non-coding RNA (323 nucleotides) under Olea europaea (common olive). RNAcentral's name for it is "long non-coding RNA (OEUR_LNC014222)". The record is from RNAcentral. Lineage: Eukaryota; Viridiplantae; Streptophyta; Magnoliopsida; Lamiales; Oleaceae.